ACUCAAAGGAAUAGACGGGGGCCCGCACAAGCAGUGGAGUAUGUGGUUUAAUUCGACGCAACGCGAAGAACCUUACCAGGACUUGACAUACAUGUGAAGAGUUAAGAGAUUAACGGGUCUUUAGGGACACAUGAACAGGUGGUGCAUGGUUGUCGUCAGCUCGUGUCGUGAGAUGUUGGGUUAAGUCCCGCAACGAGCGCAACCCCUAUUGUUAGUUGCCAGCAGGUGAAGCUGGGCACUCUAGCGAGACUGCCGUUGAUAAAACGGAGGAAGGUGGGGAUGACGUCAAAUCAUCAUGCUCUUUAUGUCCUGGGCUACACACGUACUACAAUGGCAAGAACAGAGGGAAGCGAAGCUGCGAAGUGGAGCGAAUCCCAAAAAGUUGCCUCAGUUCAGAUUGUAGGCUGCAACUCGCCUACAUGAAGAUGGAAUUGCUAGUAAUUGCAGGUCAGCAUACUGCAGUGAAUACGUUCUCGGGCCUUGUACACACCGCCCGU
RNAcentral lists this ribosomal RNA (497 nucleotides) under uncultured bacterium. Its description in RNAcentral is "bacterial SSU rRNA". It matches the Rfam family "Bacterial small subunit ribosomal RNA", at positions 899 to 1397 of the family's 1533-position model. The record is from RNAcentral.